CAGGGAGCCCUAGCACAGGUGCUGCAUGGCCGUCGUCAGCUCGUGCCGUGAGGUGUGGGUUAAGUCCCGCAACGAGCGCAACCCCGCCGUUAGUUGCCAGCGGUUCGGCCGGGCACUCUAACGGGACUGCCCGCGAAAGCGGGAGGAAGGAGGGGACGACGUCUGGUCAGCAUGGCCCUUACGGCCUGGGCGACACACGUGCUACAAUGCCCACUACAAAGCGAUGCCACCCGGCAACGGGGAGCUAAUCGCAAAAAGGUGGGCCCAGUUCGGAUUGGGGUCUGCAACCCGACCCCAUGAAGCCGGAAUCGCUAGUAAUCGCGGAUCAGCCAUGCCCGCGGUCGAAUACGUUCCGGGCCUU
This 361-nucleotide ribosomal RNA is filed under the name uncultured Thermus sp. Its description in RNAcentral is "bacterial SSU rRNA". It matches the Rfam family "Bacterial small subunit ribosomal RNA", at positions 1020 to 1382 of the family's 1533-position model. The record is from RNAcentral. Lineage: Bacteria; Thermotogati; Deinococcota; Deinococci; Thermales; Thermaceae.